RNAcentral lists this ribosomal RNA (1343 nucleotides) under uncultured bacterium. RNAcentral's name for it is "16S ribosomal RNA". It matches the Rfam family "Bacterial small subunit ribosomal RNA", at positions 28 to 1378 of the family's 1533-position model. The record is from RNAcentral.
GACGAACGCUGGCGGCGUGCUUAACACAUGCAAGUCGAACGGAAAGGCCCUGCUUUUGUGGGGUGCUCGAGUGGCGAACGGGUGAGUAACACGUGAGUAACCUGCCCUUGACUUUGGGAUAACUUCAGGAAACUGGGGCUAAUACCGGAUAGGAGCUCCUGCUGCAUGGUGGGGGUUGGAAAGUUUCGGCGGUUGGGGAUGGACUCGCGGCUUAUCAGCUUGUUGGUGGGGUAGUGGCUUACCAAGGCUUUGACGGGUAGCCGGCCUGAGAGGGUGACCGGCCACAUUGGGACUGAGAUACGGCCCAGACUCCUACGGGAGGCAGCAGUGGGGAAUAUUGCACAAUGGGCGGAAGCCUGAUGCAGCAACGCCGCGUGCGGGAUGACGGCCUUCGGGUUGUAAACCGCUUUCGCCUGUGACGAAGCGUGAGUGACGGUAAUGGGUAAAGAAGCACCGGCUAACUACGUGCCAGCAGCCGCGGUGAUACGUAGGGUGCGAGCGUUGUCCGGAUUUAUUGGGCGUAAAGGGCUCGUAGGUGGUUGAUCGCGUCGGAAGUGUAAUCUUGGGGCUUAACCCUAAGCGUGCUUUCGAUACGGGUUGACUUGAGGAGGGUAGGGGAGAAUGGAAUUCCUGGUGGAGCGGUGGAAUGCGCAGAUAUCAGGAGGAACACCAGUGGCGAAGGCGGUUCUCUGGGCCUUUCCUGACGCUGAGGAGCGAAAGCGUGGGGAGCGAACAGGCUUAGAUACCCUGGUAGUCCACGCUGUAAACGGUGGGUACUAGGUGUGGGGUCCAUUCCACGGGUUCCGUGCCGUAGCUAACGCUUUAAGUACCCCGCCUGGGGAGUACGGCCGCAAGGCUAAAACUCAAAGGAAUUGACGGGGCCCCGCACAAGCGGCGGAGCAUGCGGAUUAAUUCGAUGCAACGCGUAGAACCUUACCUGGGUUUGACAUGGAUCGGGAGUGCUCAGAGAUGGGUGUGCCUCUUUUGGGGUCGGUUCACAGGUGGUGCAUGGCUGUCGUCAGCUCGUGUCGUGAGAUGUUGGGUUAAGUCCCGCAACGAGCGCAACCCUUGUUCACUGUUGCCAGCACGUUAUGGUGGGGACUCAGUGGAGACCGCCGGGGUCAACUCGGAGGAAGGUGGGGAUGACGUCAAGUCAUCAUGCCCCUUAUGUCCAGGGCUUCACGCAUGCUACAAUGGCUGGUACAGAGAGUGGCGAGCCUGUGAGGGUGAGCGAAUCUCGGAAAGCCGGUCUCAGUUCGGAUUGGGGUCUGCAACUCGACCUCAUGAAGUCGGAGUCGCUAGUAAUCGCAGAUCAGCAACGCUGCGGUGAAUACGUUCCCGGG